GGGUGAGUAACGCGUGAGUAACCUGCCCUGGAGUGGGGGACAACAGUUGGAAACGACUGCUAAUACCGCAUAAGCCCACGGAUCCGCAUGGAUCUGCGGGAAAAGGAUUUAUUCGCUUCAGGAUGGACUCGCGUCCAAUUAGCUAGUUGGUGAGGUAACGGCCCACCAAGGCGACGAUUGGUAGCCGGACUGAGAGGUUGAACGGCCACAUUGGGACUGAGACACGGCCCAGACUCCUACGGGAGGCAGCAGUGGGGGAUAUUGCACAAUGGGGGAAACCCUGAUGCAGCGACGCCGCGUGGAGGAAGAAGGUUUUCGGAUUGUAAACUCCUGUCGUUAGGGACGAUAAUGACGGUACCUAACAAGAAAGCACCGGCUAACUACGUGCCAGCAACCGCGGUAAAACGUAGGGUGCAAGCGUUGUCCGGAAUUACUGGGUGUAAAGGGAGCGCAGGCGGACCGGCAAGUUGGAAGUGAAAACUAUGGGCUCAACCCAUAAAUUGCUUUCAAAACUGCUGGCCUUGAGUAGUGCAGAGGUAGGUGGAAUUCCCGGUGUAGCGGUGGAAUGCGUAGAUAUCGGGAGGAACACCAGUGGCGAAGGCGACCUACUGGGCACCAACUGACGCUGAGGCUCGAAAGCAUGGGUAGCA
RNAcentral lists this ribosomal RNA (650 nucleotides) under uncultured bacterium. Its description in RNAcentral is "bacterial SSU rRNA". It matches the Rfam family "Bacterial small subunit ribosomal RNA", at positions 104 to 770 of the family's 1533-position model. The record is from RNAcentral.